GAUGCGAUAUGCUCAGACUGUUCU
This 24-nucleotide microRNA is filed under the name Ananas comosus (pineapple). Its description in RNAcentral is "microRNA s0889_c118a". The record is from RNAcentral. Lineage: Eukaryota; Viridiplantae; Streptophyta; Magnoliopsida; Poales; Bromeliaceae.